GACUGGUCCAAUUUUGUUUCUGAACAGAAUUCGUUUGCGUGGUUUGGACUGACGAACUAACUGGUGCGGUGGAACAGGAGAAUUUCCUGCUUGACAAAGGGCGACUGAAACUUCGGACCAUAAAGGAGGCCUUUAAUGCUUCGCUUGUUAGGAUAUGUAUUCGUGAUGUACCUUGCAUUGUUUCCUUUGGAGAGGGGGAUUUCAUCCCAAUACGUUUUGUCAGUGGCUCUACAGUUCAAAUGUCUGGACAUUCUAAACAUCACUCGGCGAGCUCAUGAACUUCAAGUUCUUACUCGUAUUCAUUCGCCAAGAUGUGCACAAUAUCGCCAUGAAGAUACAAGUGGAGCUAACCAUAAAGUACUUAUUACUCCCCAAAUGGUAUUAAUGUGGCAAUAAGAACUAGAAAAAGUACUCAGCGAUUAAUUGGUCAAUUUUUGACUAAAGAGGGACAAACAUACUUUUGUAGUGUCAUCAAGUAAGAAUCUGAAUCUGAAAACAUUUGUCAUUAUUGACAGUAUUGUGAAUGUUCUAGAGAACACUUAGGACUGUUUUUUUACUUGACUCCUUCAAUACAGAGGGUGCCAUACUGAUGAAAUGAUGGCAAUACCCCAACCACUUGUUAACUUCAGGGCUCGACACAAACGGUAGCCCACUCCACAGACCAGUAGAAAUUCAGUUUUGGUGAGUGGUUUUUCGGUUACCAUUAGCCAGUUUGGCUGGUAAACAACUGAAAUUGUCGUGGCAUCUAAGAUGUCACCAGCCACUUGGCUAGUAAGUUGAAAAGUUAGUGUCGAGCCAGGGACUUUUCAUUCCAGUUUUCUUUGAAAUACACUACUAUACAUGUAGUAAAGCUGAUUGAAACUGUUAGCUGUAAAACAUUCCGUCACAGACAUAAAUAACUUAAAGAAUUAACAUUCUUGAUUAAUCUUCUCAUUUUAGUAAUCAAAUAAACAGUUGCAUAUAAUUUA
Molecule: long non-coding RNA, 968 nt
Organism: Stylophora pistillata
Lineage: Eukaryota; Metazoa; Cnidaria; Anthozoa; Scleractinia; Pocilloporidae
Source: RefSeq, a predicted model, not a curated record